AAACACACUGACAACAUGAAGGCCCUCUUCCUCAUAGGACUGCUUGCUCUGGUAGCGAGCACCGCCUUUGCGCAAUAUAGCGAAGUUGUUGGCAGUUACGAUGUUGCUGGCGGGGGUGGUGCUCAACAAUGCCCUGUAGAGACAAAGCUAAAUUCAUGCAGGAAUUACCUGCUAGAUCGAUGCUCAACGAUGAAGGAUUUCCCGGUCACCUGGCGUUGGUGGAAAUGGUGGAAGGGAGGUUGUCAAGAGCUCCUUGGGGAGUGUUGCAGUCGGCUCGGCCAAAUGCCACCGCAAUGCCGCUGCAACAUCAUCCAGGGGUCAAUCCAAGGCGAUCUCGGUGGCAUCUUCGGAUUUCAGCGUGAUCGGGCAAGCAAAGUGAUAC
Molecule: long non-coding RNA, 382 nt
Filed under: Triticum aestivum (bread wheat)
Lineage: Eukaryota; Viridiplantae; Streptophyta; Magnoliopsida; Poales; Poaceae
Description: long non-coding RNA (TAES_LNC008282)
Source: RNAcentral